This 255-nucleotide unclassified non-coding RNA is filed under the name Xylaria feejeensis. RNAcentral describes it as "partial contains 5.8S ribosomal RNA, internal transcribed spacer 2, and large subunit ribosomal RNA". The record is from RNAcentral. Lineage: Eukaryota; Fungi; Ascomycota; Sordariomycetes; Xylariales; Xylariaceae.
CGCACAUUGCGCCCAUUAGUAUUCUAGUGGGCAUGCCUGUUCGAGCGUCAUUUCAACCCCUUAAGCCUUAGUUGCUUAGUGUUGGGAGCUUACAGCGCUGUAGCUCCUCAAAGUUAGUGGCAGAGUCGGUUUACAUUCUAGACGUAGUAAUUCUUUUAUUUCGCCUACAAGUCGUACCGGUCCCUUGCCGUAAAAAAAAACACCAUAAUUAUAAAUGUUGACCUCGGAUCAGGUAGGAAUACCCGCUGAACUUAA